Molecule: ribosomal RNA, 3189 nt
Filed under: Bacillus anthracis (anthrax bacterium)
Lineage: Bacteria; Bacillati; Bacillota; Bacilli; Caryophanales; Bacillaceae
Description: bacterial LSU rRNA
Rfam family: Bacterial large subunit ribosomal RNA
Source: RNAcentral
UUAAGUUAGAAAGGGCGCACGGUGGAUGCCUUGACACUAGGAGUCGAUGAAGGACGGGACUAACGCCGAUAUGCUUCGGGGAGCUGUAAGUAAGCUUUGAUCCGAAGAUUUCCGAAUGGGGAAACCCACCAUACGUAAUGGUAUGGUAUCCUUAUCUGAAUACAUAGGGUAAGGAAGACAGACCCAGGGAACUGAAACAUCUAAGUACCUGGAGGAAGAGAAAGCAAAUGCGAUUUCCUGAGUAGCGGCGAGCGAAACGGAACAUAGCCCAAACCAAGAGGCUUGCCUCUUGGGGUUGUAGGACAUUCUAUACGGAGUUACAAAGGAACGAGGUAGGGGACGAAGCGACCUGGAAAGGUCCGUCGUAGCCAGGGGUAACAACCCCGCUAGUCCGACACACGCUUCGUUCUCUCUUGAAUGUAUCCUGAGUACCGGGGGGCGGACACACGUGACAAAUCCCGUCGGAAUCUGGGAGAACCAAUCUCCACAAGGGCUGAAAUACUCCCCUAAGUGAUCGAUUAGAUGGAACCAGUACCGUGAGGGAGAAGGUGAAAAGCACCCCGAAGGAGUGAAAGAGAUCCUGAAACCGUGUUGCCUACAAAUAGUCAGACGCCCGUUAAUGGGUGGAUGGCGUGCCUUUGUCGUAGAAUGAACGCGCGAGUAGCGGACUCCCGUGCGAGCGUUAAGCGUGAAGAGGCGGACGCCGCAGGAAACCCAGCCCCGCAAUAGGCAGCUUAGUACGUGGGCGUACGACCCAUAAACAAGGUGAUCUACCAAAGAGUCACCAAGGAGUGAAGAGUCUGGAAACCCUUAAAAUGGAGGCUACCGAACGCGUCAGCGCCCGUGAAACGUAGCUAGCGAGGGACUGCGAGCGAAGUUGCAGAAUAGGACGACAGAAGAAACUCAGAAUCGAAGCCGAGGAGACGUAGCUGUCUAUCAUCCGUGAAGUUCAGCACUGGAAUGAGGGGCACCCAGCGUACUUAAGUGCGGCGAAGAGCUGAGAACGGCGAUAAUCGAACACUAGACAUGGACUAGGGGUCCUCACCGAAAUACCGUAAGUCAGUUAAGACUCCAAGGUCCACGGAGCGAGAUGCAACGGGAGGAGCGUGGUACGCGUAGGAAGUCCGAGACUGCGUAAGGGGUGGAGAUGGAUAAGAUCUCCCGUAGUCAAAAGGGAAACAGCCCAGAACACGGCCAGCCUAAGGUCCCAAAGUGUGUAUUUAAGUGAAAAGGAUGGGAGCUGCUUAACAACGAGGAGUUGGCUAGAAGCAGCCACCCUUAAAAAGUGCGUAAUAGACUCACUCUAGUCGAGUGACUCUGCGCGAAGAAUGUACCGGGGCUAAAUACACCCACCUAAGCUGCGCGGGAUGAGACCAGAUGGUAUCAGUGUAGCGGGCGGCGUUCUAAGGACAGUGAAGUCAGACCGGGAAGGACUGUGGUGGGUGGAUUAGUGCUGUAGGAAGUGCCGAGAAUGCCCGGAUAGAGAGUAGCGAAAGACGGGUGAGGAGAAUCCCGUCCAACGCCGAAGUUGCCUGUAAGAUUUCCUGAGGAAAGGCUCGUCCAGCUCAAGGUUGAGUCGAGGUACCUAAGAGCCGGACCGACAGGCGUAUGGGAUCAACAGACAGGUUGAGUAUUCCCUGUGUACCACCUCUUUAAUCGUUUGAGCAAUGGAGGGGACGCACGACGAGGGCAUAGAAGAUAGCGGUUGCGAGUGGUUUGGUCAGGCACAGUCCAAGCAGUUAGGGCUGAUAAGUAGGGGGCAAUACCCCGCCUAUCGUGGAAGGCUGAGCUGUGCAUGGUGGGAAGCUCCUAAUGGAGGCGAAGUCUUUUGAUUCCCCGCCUGCCAAGGAAGAAGCUUCUAGCGAGAUAAAAAAGGUGCCUGUACCCGCAAACCGACACAGGUAGGCGAGGAGGAGAGGAUCCUAAGGUGUGCGAGUAGGAACUCUGGUUAAGGAACUCGGCAAAAUGACCCCGUAACUUCGGGGAGAGGGUGUGCUUUCUUAACGUGAAAGCCGCAGUGAAUAGGCCCAAGCGACCUGUUUUAGCAAAAACACAGUGCCUCUUCUGCGCGAAGCGCCGAUAAGGCGAAGUAUAGGGGGUGACACCUGCCCCGGGUGCUGGAAGGUUAAGGAGAGGGGGUUAUGCGUUAAGCGAAGCCUCUGAACUGAAGCCACCAGUAAACGGCGGCCGUAACUAUUAACGGUCCUAUAAGGUAGCGAAAUUCCUUGUGUCGGGUAAGUUAUUCCCCACCCCGCACGAAAGGUGUAACGAUUUGGGCACUGUCUCAACCAGAGACUCGGUGAAAUUAUAGUACCUGUGAAGAUGCAGGUUACCCGCGACAGGACGGAAAGACCCCGUGGAGCUUUACUGUAGCCUGAUAUUGAAUUUUGGUACAGUUUGUACAGGAUAGGCGGGAGCCUUUGAAACCGGAGCGCUAGCUUCGGUGGAGGCGCUGGUGGGAUACCGCCCUGACUGUAUUGAAAUUCUAACCUACGGGUCUUAUCGACCCGGGAGACAGUGUCAGGUGGGCAGUUUGACUGGGGCGGUCGCCUCCUAAAGUGUAACGGAGGCGCCCAAAGGUUCCCUCAGAAUGGUUGGAAAUCAUUCGUAGAGUGCAAAGGCAUAAGGGAGCUUGACUGCGAGACCUACAAGUCGAGCAGGGACGAAAGUCGGGCUUAGUGAUCCGGUGGUUCCGCAUGGAAGGGCCAUCGCUCAACGGAUAAAAGCUACCCCGGGGAUAACAGGCUUAUCUCCCCCAAGAGUCCACAUCGACGGGGAGGUUUGGCACCUCGAUGUCGGCUCAUCGCAUCCUGGGGCUGUAGUCGGUCCCAAGGGUUGGGCUGUUCGCCCAUUAAAGCGGUACGCGAGCUGGGUUCAGAACGUCGUGAGACAGUUCGGUCCCUAUCCGUCGUGGGCGUAGGAAAUUUGAGAGGAGCUGUCCUUAGUACGAGAGGACCGGGAUGGACGCACCGCUGGUGUACCAGUUGUUCUGCCAAGGGCAUAGCUGGGUAGCUAUGUGCGGAAGGGAUAAGUGCUGAAAGCAUCUAAGCAUGAAGCCCCCCUCAAGAUGAGAUUUCCCAUAGCGUAAGCUAGUAAGAUCCCUGAAAGAUGAUCAGGUUGAUAGGUUCGAGGUGGAAGCAUGGUGACAUGUGGAGCUGACGAAUACUAAUAGAUCGAGGACUUAACCAU